This is a long non-coding RNA of Phyllopteryx taeniolatus (common seadragon), 2395 nucleotides long. RefSeq lists it as uncharacterized. The transcript is spliced from 3 exons. Lineage: Eukaryota; Metazoa; Chordata; Actinopteri; Syngnathiformes; Syngnathidae. The record is from RefSeq and is a predicted model, not a curated record.
GAGUCGGUGUCCCGGCAACAGACCUCCUCAUUAGCAGUGUAUAGCAGCCGUGCAGACUUGGGUGAUCGAUCAUUUUCCUUUUUCUGGUGCGUUCAAAGGCGGUUCUUGGUGAGCGGUUAUGUAGAACCGACUUCGCUGCGGGUGAAAAUCAAAAAGCGCUGAUCAUUGCCAAGUGGCUUCAAAAUCCUCAGCGGGGAUUUGUAAAGCUUCUACUCAACACAACAAAAUGGCCUCUCUGAGUACGUGCAGGAUGGACGUUAAUUGACGUGCCUGACCUUGCACCGUGCUGCCAACCAACUUGAAACCAUUGCACUGCUUUGCCCUUAAAAAACAAAUCAUUGGAUGUUACAAAAAAAAGGUUUGCCUUAAACCCUAAAUCAUGUUAUUUAUUAGCAGUCACAGGCUAGUAUGGGACAAUCACUUCAUGUAUGCCGUUAAAAAGUAAACAGAAUCCAUCAUCUGUUAUGCUAAUCACGGCAGAUUACAAGUAGAUAUGGGUUGUUUGCCCCGUGCAAACUGCAAACAAGUGACGGGCGUUAGGACAGCAGAAGCAGAUGAACACACGCUGACGCCAGAGGGCAGCCGGAUGAAUCAUUCCUUCGCUCAAAAGAAAAACAACAAACAUUUCACAAGACAAACUGCGACGUUGUAUACUAGCGCUCCGCUCCAGACCAUGCUGCCAUAUUGGAAGGCAAGACACAAUUGACUGUAAAACCAAAUGGCAUUUUUGCGGAGCUUAUUUUUCUUUUGAUGUCUUUUUUAUUACUCACAAUUUACCAUCCCGACUGUUGGCAAUCAAAUUCUUUUCAACUGGAUUUCUGUUGGUCGGUUUGUCGGAAGGAAUACACGGAACCCGUUUUGAAUUCUUUUCAAUGACAAAAGAAUUUCUAAAGAGCUUUCCAGCAUGACGACGGUUUUGGAGGGCAACAGGCAGUCCGCUGCAAUGUGUUCUUGCGUGAUUUCGACCUGGCAAAGCUGUGAGCGCCGCACGACCAAGCCAGUAAAAUACACUUUGGAACGAAUCGCAUCGCAAAUUCCAACGGAGUGACGACUGAGCAACUCCAGAAAAGACUCCAACAGUGGCUCAUCAAUCAAUAGUCAUUGAUUUUCUCUGCUCAUUAUGCUCUUGUUGAAGAUGUUUCGUGGAAUUUUGGUGAGUACUUUUAUUGGCUAAAUUGCCGAGACGCGCGUUCGCCCAAAUACUCGAAAUCCAUUUUUCCGUGCCGCCAACUACGGAUGUGGCGGUUGCUGACAGCCGACCAAAGAGUUGGUACCUUGAAGACAGAAGUACAUGAUGAUUACUUUUAGCUUUGAAUUAUUAUUGUUUUGAAUAUAGUUUACCAAACCAGACCAAAAAAACAACAGCAAACUUAAGUUUCAACAAGUCUGACAUGAAAUACCUCGCUCGCCACAAAGGAUUUUUGAUCACGCCGGAUGAUGGACUCGCCAUUAUUCUUAUUGGCAGCAAGGCUGGUUGUUUGACUUUGUAGCAUUUGUUGUCAUCUCUGGCCUGGUGGAGCCACGCUGCAAACACCCGCUCAAAGCCUCUUGGUCGUGACUGACAUGAUCACGGUGGAGGGUUCGAUCCACUUGGAGGGCUCUUGUGAUUCUCUCCUGUCAGCUAGCAUCACCCUCCUCAUCAUCAGACAGGAGUUUUGCAUUAGUCGCGGAGCUGGGCACCCGGGCUUACGUCUCAGAAAGUAGCCGCUUGUCGGAGGAGGGCUCUUUGACUGUUAAUUAGCAUACUGAGCCUUUUGGAAAACACGCUGUAAACGUUCACUUCUUGGGACAGUUGAGCAAAGAUGACGCUUUUCCUCAACUCUCUGGGAGACAUUUAUCUUGUAAUCAUCGGAGACGCUCUGCAUUUUGCAGCAUCAUUGCUGACUGUGCCUCAAGGAACAAUAUAGCAGAGUUAAUCCUGUCAGCAAAGCCGCUGUUUUUCCCUCCACGUUGUAUCGGAGUCCAUCCGCAGAACCCAACGCAAUUGCGAACGCAUCCUCUAUUGCGAUUUGUCCGAUGGAGCCGAUCCACUCGAUCACCCCAAACGAAGCACAUCCAUCUGUAAGUCUCACGGCAAAUAUCCCCUUCCUCCUAAACAAAUCUGCUGCCUUUGACACAUUGGCUGCACGCUGGACAAUAAAUCCGCUUGCUAGAUUUCCGCCACCGCAGACAUUUCCAGCGAGAAGACAGAGGGCGGCUCCGUAUGUCUCAACAGCUGAAGAAAGCGGCUGAGAAAAGUCAUUUCCUUGCAGUCGCACUCUUGAGCCCAGGCAGUCAUCGCUUCGCGAGUCCUGAAGUGUGCAAACUUGAGGAGGAUGGCUGGGGGGUUAGAACAUAUGAGUGUGCACUACAUCAAAUUAGAGCGGAAUAUGUGACUGCGGGCCAGAGGAACUCU